UAGGGAAUCUUCCGCAAUGGACGCAAGUCUGACGGAGCAACGCCGCGUGUGUGAAGAAGGAUUUCGGUUCGUAAAACUCUGUUGUUAGAGAAGAACAGCGCAUAGAGUAACUGUUAUGCGUGUGACGGUAUCUAACCAGAAAGCCACGGCUAACUACGUGCCAGCAGCCGCGGUAAUACGUAGGUGGCAAGCGUUGUCCGGAUUUAUUGGGCGUAAAGCGAGCGCAGGCGGUCAAUUAAGUCUGAUGUGAAAACCCCCGGCUCAACCGGGGAGGGUCAUUGGAAACUGGUUGACUUGAGUGCAGGAGAGGAGGGUGGAAUUCCAUGUGUAGCGGUGAAAUGCGUAGAUAUAUGGAGGAACACCAGUGGCAAAGGCGACUCUCUGGUCUAUAACUGACGCUGAGGCUCGAAAGCGUGGGUAGCAAACAGG
This 429-nucleotide ribosomal RNA is filed under the name Bacteroidota bacterium. RNAcentral describes it as "Bacteroidetes bacterium partial 16S ribosomal RNA". It matches the Rfam family "Bacterial small subunit ribosomal RNA", at positions 355 to 776 of the family's 1533-position model. Lineage: Bacteria; Pseudomonadati; Bacteroidota. The record is from RNAcentral.